UUGUUUGAUAACGUGUACAUGUACAGAGACCAGGUGAAUACAGUCGGAUGUCGUUGGAUAACGUGUACAUGUACAGAGACCAGGUUAAUACAGUCGGAUGUCGUUGGAUAACGUGUACAUUCGGAUGUCGUUGGAUAACGUGUACAUGUACAGAGACCAGGUGAAUACAGUCGGAUGUCGUUGGAUAACGUGUACAUGUACAGAGACCAGGUGAAUACAGUCGGAUGUCGUUGGAUAACGUGUACAGUCGGAUGUCGUUGGAUAGUGAUUUUUUUGUUAAGUCUGUCUACACCGACUACGGCUCCCAGUGGCGCUGGAGCGGUGGAGGGGUUGCCGGGGCGAACUAAGAGUCUCGGGGUUCAGAGGAGAGAAUGGUCCCGUCUGCGCUUUAUUACGCUGGUCAAAUCAAACGUGACACCUGGACUCUGAGCUGUUCAGGGAGGGCUCACCGAGAAUACACAGCGCACAACAUGUCAGAGCUGCACACAAACAAACAAAGUGCAGGCGUAGGGGAGUCCACGGAGGACACAGAACUGGUUCAGACUUUUUUGGAUCAUUUACCCACUGCCUUUUGAAAGCAGUGUUUUAGACCUCUAUUUCCCAAAAGAAGUACUAUUAUCUAUCACCACUCUUGUUUCGUGGGCUAGAAGAUAACACAUUUUUUUACUCUUGCUCUCCUUCCACCCAACAGCUCAAGAGGCUUUUUUCUAAUCUUAAUUCAUAUAUUUAUUUUACCUUAUUGACAUUACAUUGGGAAAUGGAUAUCAAUACGCCCUAAUUGGGCUGAGAUAAUGACAUUUAAAGUAUUGUUAAUAAUGACCAGAGCACUGUAAAUCAAAUACAUACUGUAUAUGCAUUAAAAGUAACUUCUGUCAUAUCGUAAAGCAAAUGUCAUGUCUUAUGUUUACUUUACAAAGAGUUCAAUUCAACAUUCAACAUUCAAUUCAAUUCAAUUCAAUUCAAUUCAUUUUAUUUUAUUUUGUACAGCCCCAAAUCGCAAAUUACAAAUUUGCCUCAGAGGGCUUUACAGUCUGUACACAUAAGACAUCCUCUGUCCCGAAACCCUCCAUCGGCACAGGAAAAACUCCCCAAAUGAAAAAACCCUUCCAAGAGGGAAAAAAGGGAAGAAACCUUAGUGAGAACGUCAGAGGAGGAUCCGUCUCCUGAUGGACAGACUACAAUGAUGUCAUGUGUACAGAAUAAACAAUGUAUAAUACAUGAGACUAUAUGACAGAAAUGAUUCAAGUAACUGUGAGUAGUAAACCAGACGCACAGCAGGACCACUGCAGGGACCACCACCAUCACAUAGAACCACCAUCAGAUAGAACCACCAUCACAUAGAACCACCAUCACAUAGAACCACCAUCACAUAGAACCACCAUCACAUAGAACCACCAUCAGAUAGAAC
Gasterosteus aculeatus aculeatus (three-spined stickleback) is the source of this 1408-nucleotide long non-coding RNA. NCBI's taxonomy places the organism in Eukaryota, Metazoa, Chordata, Actinopteri, Perciformes, Gasterosteidae. The record is from Ensembl.